UUGUGGUUAACACAUUUAAAAACAGUGAUCUAGUGUAAUUUUUUCCAUAAAGCUACAAGUUGAGUUAAAGGAAAAAAGUGGAUUUUUUAGAACAACACAUAACAGUUCAUGUGAUUUAUCAUACAAAUUUAUUAAACUGUACAUCAGUAAACAACCUAUUUUGGAGGUAGGAUAUCAUGAAAGAGUGUUGUACUGGUGGGAAUUUUCCAAAAGUGGAUUGGCAACACUGG
RNAcentral lists this long non-coding RNA (230 nucleotides) under Homalodisca vitripennis (glassy-winged sharpshooter). RNAcentral describes it as "uncharacterized LOC124374866". The record is from RNAcentral. Lineage: Eukaryota; Metazoa; Arthropoda; Insecta; Hemiptera; Cicadellidae.